UAUGAUCGCCGGAAAGGUUGCUGUUGUUUUGGGAUAUGGUGAUGUUGGAAAGGGAUGUGCUGCUGCCAUGAAGCAGGCUGGAGCUCGCGUCAUUGUGACCGAGAUUGAUCCCAUCUGUGCCCUUCAGGCUCUUAUGGAAGGUCUCCAGGUGUUGACCCUUGAGGAUUGCGUUGCGGAGGCUGACAUCUUCGUCACCACCACUGGAAACAAGGACAUCAUCAUGGUUGACGACAUGAGGAAGAUGAAGAACAACGCCAUUGUUUGCAACAUCGGUCACUUUGACAAUGAGAUUGACAUGAAUGGACUUGAGACCUUCCCUGGAGUGAAGCGCAUCACCAUCAAGCACCAGACCGACCGGGGGGUGUUCCCAGACACCAAGAGCGGCAUCAUUGUGUUGGCAGAGGGACGUCUCAUGAAUUUGGGAUGUGCAACUGG
This 435-nucleotide long non-coding RNA is filed under the name Linum usitatissimum (flax). RNAcentral's name for it is "long non-coding RNA (LUSI_LNC006439)". The record is from RNAcentral. Lineage: Eukaryota; Viridiplantae; Streptophyta; Magnoliopsida; Malpighiales; Linaceae.